RNAcentral lists this ribosomal RNA (497 nucleotides) under uncultured bacterium. RNAcentral describes it as "partial 16S ribosomal RNA". It matches the Rfam family "Bacterial small subunit ribosomal RNA", at positions 28 to 507 of the family's 1533-position model. The record is from RNAcentral.
GAUGAACGCUGGCGGCGUGCCUAAUACAUGCAAGUCGAGCGAACGGACGAGAAGCUUGCUUCUCUGAUGUUAGCGGCGGACGGGUGAGUAACACGUGGAUAACCUACCUAUAAGACUGGGAUAACUUCGGGAAACCGGAGCUAAUACCGGAUGAUAUUUUGAACCGCAUGGUUCGAAAGUGAAAGACGGUCUUGCUGUCACUUAUAGAUGGAUCCGCGCUGCAUUAGCUAGUUGGUAAGGUAACGGCUUACCAAGGCAACGAUGCAUAGCCGACCUGAGAGGGUGAUCGGCCACCCUGGAACUGAGACACGGUCCAGACUCCUACGGGAGGCAGCAGUAGGGAAUCUUCCGCAAUGGGCGAAAGCCUGACGGAGCAACGCCGCGUGAGUGAUGAAGGUCUUCGGAUCGUAAAACUCUGUUAUUAGGGAAGAACAUAUGUGUAAGUAACUGUGCACAUCUUGACGGUACCUAAUCAGAAAGCCACGGCUAACUACGUG